This is a long non-coding RNA of Formica exsecta, 1321 nucleotides long. RefSeq lists it as uncharacterized. The transcript has 2 exons. Lineage: Eukaryota; Metazoa; Arthropoda; Insecta; Hymenoptera; Formicidae. The record is from RefSeq and is a predicted model, not a curated record.
UGUAUAUUAGAUAUCUACAAAUAUGUAGCGUGUAUAUAUACACGUAGGUAUGGAGUCAAAUGUAUAUGUGUAUACGCACUGUAGAAAACGUCUUGGCGAGGGAUUUCGCAGAGGGUUGGCUGUUUGCGCCUCUCGACAAAUAAGGGGAAGUCGUUAUCCCGUGGAUGGGAGGAGUAAUUAACUGCUUCUACGUCCUUUCUGCCCGCUCCACCUCCCUUCCUCAGCAUCCUCUCUUUCCGGCUUCGGCUUCUACUCGAAGGAACAGACUUAAGGAGGCCCGCUUAGGCUUUCACGGGGUCGUGUCUUCAUUAUUCACGCUAAUCUGCUUUCGCCCGGUGCUGCUGCCACCGCGAACCCUCCUUGGUGCUUCCUCUCUACAUCUCUCUCUUUCUUUCUCUAUGAUAUACUUUGCGGAAAUUAUAUUAUAUUAUUAUCAUGCGCGACGCACACAACUAUGAAGCAAACGUCACGUACUUUGCGACGAUAUAUGUUUAAUAUAAUCGGGUGGAAUAUUUCUUAAUUAAUGUGUUAUGUGUGAAAUUUUGAUUAAAGAUAUCAGAUUUCUUUUUCUCCAUAAUUUUAACUCAAACGCAAAUUUAAAUUAUAUAUUCUCUUACAAUCGAUCAAUAACAUUAGUAAAAAGUAUCUCUUCUCAAAAAAGGGAUUGGAAAAUAUUGAGAAUACAAGAUGCUUUAAAAAAUGAAUUGGCUCGCCAAUUAGUCGCUCUCGUAGGUAGGUAGAUAGGCAUGCAAUAAAUCUGUCGGGGUAUUAAUACCGGUAACCGAAACACAUUGCCGACAGAGGCGAGAUAUAAGCACCCCAACCGAGAUAAUCUUCCACCAAUUUCGACUUCCUGAUUGAUCAUGGCGUUCAUUCGAACGGAUCGUCCGGAACAAACGAACGCAUCAUCUUCCCGUCCGAAGAUUUUCGUUAUAAAUUUAAAAAGCAUAUGUUGACAUUUUUUCAGUUUGCAACUAAAAAGUUAAAUUCGCAUUUUUUAAAUUCCGUCUCAGAUACAGAUCAAAUGAAAGAUUACUCACAUGUUCCGUAUUCUAAAAAAGAAACUAAUGUUUAAAUGAGUAACAGAUACUUUGUUACAUACACAAGAACGAUCUGUACGAUUGGGAUAAGUUUACAUUACAUCUUGACACAUGUGAGUGUUAUGUAUUUCUACUUCUUGGUUCAUUAAAUUAAUCUGGGCGAGAAAUAAUCUUAUAAGACAUUUUUUUUAUAUAUAAUAAAGGCAUUUUUGUAUUGUUCGCGUUGCAUUGUAUAUUAUAUGUGCUAUUAUUAACUGUAGAAAUAAAUGUGUAAAAGAAAA